This 85-nucleotide transfer RNA is filed under the name Felis catus (domestic cat). It matches the Rfam family "tRNA". From Rfam's summary of the family: Transfer RNA (tRNA) molecules are approximately 80 nucleotides in length. Their secondary structure includes four short double-helical elements and three loops (D, anti-codon, and T loops). The record is from Rfam by way of RNAcentral. Lineage: Eukaryota; Metazoa; Chordata; Mammalia; Carnivora; Felidae.
GCCUGGGUGGCUCAGUUGGUUAAGCACCUGACUUCGGCUCAGGUCAUGAUCUCACGGUUUGUGGGUUCGAGCCCUGCAUUGGGCU